Lagopus muta (rock ptarmigan) is the source of this 5298-nucleotide long non-coding RNA. RefSeq lists it as uncharacterized. The transcript has 3 exons. Lineage: Eukaryota; Metazoa; Chordata; Aves; Galliformes; Phasianidae. The record is from RefSeq and is a predicted model, not a curated record.
CUAGGCUCCAUUUAAUAGCUGACUACCAGUGUGGAUGGAUCUCUUUUGGAGAUUGCUCCUCUUACAGUCUUCUCAGUGGGCCCAGGACAAGGCCCCAUAUGUAAGUGGAAAUCUGCAGAAUCGUGGAACAGAAAGCAAAAGAGUAGAAAGGAGAAAAAGUGAAAUAUAUCUUUGAUGGAAAACCAAUACACCACUUCUCAAAUGAACAGAGGGAAUUUCUCAAGUAAGAAGAGUGAUGCUCUGAGGUGUAAUGCUACAGGCAGAAGCUCAUUGGGUUUCCUCCCAAGUCCAGUGUGGAGCACUCCCAGGAGAAGCAACUUCUACAGGGGCCUGACUGAACCCUGGACUGCUUGCAUGCCUGUUUCUUCAGCCUCAGCUCUUCUAAAAGACUACACAGGGAGAACUCAUCUCACGCACAGUACACAAUGGCCCAUGGUCAUCACCUCUGGUGCCAGCAGUCAGGCAAUCCUUCAUGUAUUUUUAUGCAUGUGGCAGGGUGUAUUUGGGAGGCAAGCCUUUAUUACACUACCAUGGACAGAAAGACUUUGACCUCAUCAUUCAAGCAUGACUGUAGAAAGAGAAGAAGCACUCACAACCGUAUUAAAUAACAGUUGUUGCUUUGCUGCUACCUGGAAGCUACUUUGUUCUGUUACUUGAGUCAACAAAACAGACGACCACCAAGUUCUAGUUUAAGCCUCCCUUUACUUGUAGCUCAGCCUUAAGUUCAAACCAAUGGUGUACUUCCUCCCAUAGAACUGAACUGGGUAGAAGAAGACAAGGCAAGCAAAUCUCAAAUAGAAAAAUAGCAAAUAAAUUACAGUAUACCCACAUCUCCAGUGUACAGCAUUCUUUUCACUGCUGGUAUCUUCGGCGGUAAGGCUGUUGCAAAAACAGCAGGCUUUGGUUGUUCUUAUCAUUCCACUUCCGCAACUCUGCCUUCAGAGUCGACUUAAGGCCAAAAUGUUCCUGUGACAAAUAUAAUAAAUGGUCCUUACAUGAUUGUAUGUCUUGACUCAUCUGAAUUUGAGCAGUCAAAUUGAGAAGAAAGAAGUAUAAGCUGUGGGUAAGAAGAGGGUCUUUCCCUCCCUAGCAUGAUGAUCUUGGGAAGUCUCAAGACUGUGAUGAUAACAACUUAAAAAGAUUAAAGGAAGAGUAUUUAGUGGACAGAAGGGUGAAAAAAGAUGAGACUGGACCAUAAAUGAACAAUGGCUGAGUUGAAAUGUGUAAGGAACAAAAUGAUGGGGAAAUAGCCAUCAUGGUGGUCAAACAGUUAUGUCUGAGUGUGGAGAAGCCCGGCUACGAGGUCAUUGUGCCUGCUUGGGGGAUCCAGUCUUAACUGGCCCUAAAGCCAGAAAAGGGCUGAUGAAGCUAUGGGGGAAUGCAGGUAUACAUGCUGCUGCUCUCCUGUGUGGGAUUGGUGAACUCUGCUUGGGCCCUUUGGUAAUCCAGCAAUAAAAAUGGUCAGUAUUAGAUUCUUCAGUGCGAUUUAGAUCUCCUGGAUCUCAGCAUAACAAUUAUGUGUGUAACACCUAUUCACAUCUUGUAUUUAUUAUCUUUAGAAGGCUUUACUUCAACCAUUACACUAGGAGUAAUUUUAGAUGUCAUUUCAAGUUGUGAAAAAGGUAAAAUAACACCAGCAGAUGUACCAUAGGGAGAUAUCCUCUUAAUAACUUAACUGAAGUGUUUGCCAUGGUUUUCAACAUGUGCUUCUGGCAUAAAUUCAGGAUUCGAGAUUCUGUUUUUUACUAAAUAUUCAUCACAUUUAUAUUAUAUCCUGAACGCUUUUUUCUCUGUUUCCUCUGUUUCAGGGAAACUUUCAUAGUGCUUUCAGCACCACCAAGAGAAAUUGCAAUUGCAAGGAGAGAAUGGCUGAAACUGUGCAGGCAGGGAUUGCAGUGUGCAGGGUACAAAUGAAAUCUCAGAAGAAUCACCUAGCUAUGAAAUACUAGCAACUUUUUCUUGCUGACUGAUUUUUCAGAACUUUGCAGCAUGUCCAAAUUUUGGAAGAUUUAUUUGGGAAUGGAGUUGGGACAAACCUCCAAACCACAGAAGUUCUUCAGUUUCUCAGUGGAAGGGUUGUUUUAAUGUCAAAUUAUGAAAAGCAGAAUGUUGCCGGGAACCUCAGAGUUUUAAAUGGAAAAUGCUAGUCAGCUCUGGUCAGUUCUGACUGCGUUAAUCUCUGCUGAAAUAGCUUGAUAGUUGUUUUCUUUUCUUUUGCUAGUGCUGCUUUAGCUUUCUUAUCAUGACAUUGAAGGGCUUUCAACAAGCAAGUUUGUUCAUUUGCACUUUUAUUAAAAAGCUAGUAAUUGCAGAUCAUGGAAAUUGCUGGCACUGUCCUUAGAGCACUGUAAAACAGUGUUGACUUAGCUUUAUCUACUCUGUGUACUUCUGCUUCAUUUGCAACUGGUGAGUUAUGGAGAACUGGAAGCAGUGAGUACCUUGUUGAGGGAGAAUAAAGUAAAAAGUCUUUGCAGUCUGGAUAUCAAGAGUUUCAUGGAUUUGGACAAAUUUGUUUUGUAUGUGGUUGUACAAGCUCAGUGACUUCUGAAGGUUGUAGUGGUGAACCCAGAUUAGAUGGCAACUAUAAAAAGGAGCAAAACAGGAUUUUCCGUAUUGAAUUCGGGGAAGCCAACAUCCCUAAAGUCUUCAAGAAAGCAGGCAUUUUCUUGUUUCGGGAGUCCUGCACAAGAAGCAAUCCUUGUCACUCUGUUCUGGUUUGAUCUCUAGCUAGUAGUUUCUGGGAUUCAGAUCAUCAUCAGCGAACUAGUGCUGUGGCAAUUCACUCAGAGUCUAAGUAGUACACAACAUUUUUUAAGUUAGCAAAAAUUUCUGUGCUGAAUAUUUCUGUUCUUUUGCAACACAGAAUAACAGUCUUUCCAAAUAUACUUAAAACUUCACAGAGAACUUGCCAGUAGCGAGCUGAUUAUUGAAUUAAUUCUGUAAAACAUUUAUAUUUUGCACAAUUCUUUAAUUCUUUUCAAAUUGUAUAUUUUAAAACUUGCUUUAUAAUCCUAUUUAAUUCAUGUGGCCUCCUCCUUUCAUUAUUUUUAAUGUAAUUAAAUUCCGUGAGACUUUUUCAUAAAGAUUGUUGAGCUGUUUCCAGAAAAUUCAUUGUUAGUUGUACUUCAAACUGUCUGUUUUGUUCUAGUGUUAGAAAUCCCCUUCUCUACCAUUUCUACCUCCAUGCUGAGCCUAAGUACAUAUCUAUGCAUGAUGGAUGUUUUUGAUAAUUUGUUUUAAGCUGGUGGAAUAUUUAUAAAGACAAAGAAGAGGAAAAAAAAGAAAGUGGGUUCUGUGUGUUGGCAGAACACAGAUGCAGCUAAUAAGAAGUGACGCUAUGUAUGAGCACAGUGGGGUGUACUUUUUCUGGCUCCAGGUGCAAACCAGCAGGAUUUCAAGUGCAUUCUCUCAUCACUUGUCCUAGUCCUGAUGCCUGCAAUGUGAGUGCAGUCAGGGAUGGAAGAGGAAGAGGAUGUGGAGGAGCAGGACCACGUGUACACAGUGCCAAGCACAAGUGGAUGCUUCUUGUGAGAGCCAGCAUCUUGGCUGCUUUAUACACCCAUAGGCAAGCCAAGACUUCAGUCUCUAUCAUUGGCUCAGUAACACAAAAAAGAGGAGCUGAAGUAGUGGAGUCAAGUUUUAAAUGAACUGAUGACUUUUAUGAAAGAAUACAAAUCACUUUAAAGCCUUUUCUGGAGUUCAAAAAUAGGCCAAGCUAUUUGUACUGACACUGCUGAUGUGUUUUCUUCCCUAAGUGAAGGUUUAUGUGAAGACAUCUGUUAGCUGGACCCAAGAUUUUGCUCAUACAACCUGCCUGAAAUUUUUUUUUUUUUAAAAAGAAAAAGGUAUAGGAAGAAGACAAGCUUGCAGAAUGGGAAUUAAAUAGAUUUCCUGACAUAAUAAGAGAAGGGCUUUUUACAACUUCAACUUGAUUUUCACAAUUUCAAGCUGUAGUAAAAUCUCUUUAAGCAAAGAACUGAUUUGCUGGAUUACUGACUGCUAGAAGUUGUUGGUUGCUGCUUUGGCACUUUCAGACAGACGUGGCUGCCAAUUGUAAAGAGAAAAAAAAUCUUUUUCAGACACUGUGAAAUAUUAAUGUGGAAUAUAUCAAGAAACUUCUGCAAAAAUCUCAUGAUGGAAAUUCAAUGCAGCUGAAUGUUACCGUCCUGUGUCAAACUUUUCCUGAUAUGGAUUCACAGCUACAAUAUAUUUGUGUAACUAGUUAUCUGCAGCCCAUUCAUCAUCAUAUUUUGUCUACAACAUGAAAUGAUGAAGAAUGCAAUGACAGUAUGAAAACAGGAAGAAUUAUGUUUAGCUACUGUCAGCAUUGGAUUAUUUUUUCCACAUUCCAUAAGUGUGCUUGUACAAAGCACUUGUAAUUGCAGAUUUAACUGAGAAAAAAAGUUGAUGAUAAAAAUUAGUACUUAUUAUAUACAUAAUUAAAAGUUACUAGCAUUAUCUUUUAUUAAGAGAGGAGAAAAAGUUGAGGUUAUGCAGUAGCUUCUGACCUGAGACUCCAGUGCUGUGGUCCAGAUAAUGCUCACCAGAGUGUUUGUUCAUUUGCUGUUAAGAUACAUGCAAAAGGAUUUGUCAUACAAAUUAACAAAUUAGCAGCAUUAUAUUUGCAUUGCAACAGCUCCAGUCAGUACAAGAUCAUCACACUAACAGUACAAACAAAUAUUUCUGACCUGCAGAGCUUAAAGUCUAAAUUCAGACUCAAUAAACAAAGAAAAUAAAUGGAAAGACUGGAGAAAAGGACGGGCGGGAAACAAUGAUAAGAACACUUAGUUGCAUAGGCCAUGUACAUGCAUAAUUGCAGCUCUAUUUAUAAGCUAGAACUAAACAUGAGAUAUUAAUGAGGUUAGUAAUCCCUGCUGGCCAGCUGCCUAGCCAUUAAAGGAACGAUGAUUUGUCUGGAAGGAGAAUAUUCCUACACCCUGCUGUGUUGCUGAGAAGGAUUGUAUAAAUGCCAAGGGGUUUAUUCAGUUUCUUAAUGCUGCUGGCCUUACCUUCUUGAGUCAGCUAUGCAAAGGCAGAAGUACUACCACUUAUGGCUAUAUAUUCCCUUCCAUCCUGUUUAAUACUGCGGUGAAAUUAGGCUUGAUCUCUUUAUGUCCCUUCUGACUCCUGCAAUUCUGUGGUUCUGUGGAAGUUCUUUCCCAUGCCAUUCUCUACAAGGAAACCGCUUGACAUGGUGGAGUAAAAGAACACUUGUAACACCAGAGAGAUUAAAAGUGGCCUCCUUUUUAAUGACAGGGCUUUUUGUUUUAGUGGCAACAGGAUCUCUCAUAAUAUGCA